UACGAAGGGGGCUAGCGUUGCUCGGAAUCACUGGGCGUAAAGCGCACGUAGGCGGCUUUUUAAGUCAGAGGUGAAAUCCUGGAGCUCAACUCCAGAACUGCCUUUGAUACUGAGAGGCUUGAGUCCGGGAGAGGUGAGUGGAACUGCGAGUGUAGAGGUGAAAUUCGUAGAUAUUCGCAAGAACACCAGUGGCGAAGGCGGCUCACUGGCCCGAUACUGACGCUGAGGCACGAAAGCGUGGGGAGCAAACAGG
This 253-nucleotide ribosomal RNA is filed under the name uncultured bacterium. RNAcentral's name for it is "partial 16S ribosomal RNA". It matches the Rfam family "Bacterial small subunit ribosomal RNA", at positions 524 to 776 of the family's 1533-position model. The record is from RNAcentral.